RNAcentral lists this long non-coding RNA (268 nucleotides) under Gossypium barbadense (sea-island cotton). Its description in RNAcentral is "long non-coding RNA (GBAR_LNC001280)". The record is from RNAcentral. Lineage: Eukaryota; Viridiplantae; Streptophyta; Magnoliopsida; Malvales; Malvaceae.
AUAAUUGGAAAUCAACACACAAAGAUUGCCCUUGAAACCAUCCAACCCAUGCCUAAAUUUAGCAUGAUUUUAUGCUCAAAUCAAGCAACCACCAUCCACCUACUUCCACUAUAUGUGACCGACCAAGAAAUGGAGAAAAUGGAGGGAUCCCAAUCCUUAUUUUUAAUAGACUCUACUAUCUACUUCAAGUAUAAAUACCCCCCAUUAAUUCCUCAUUUCAAUCAUUCCUCAUCCCUUCAUUCCUUAAUCAUCCCUUACUCAUUUUCCC